Molecule: unclassified non-coding RNA, 170 nt
Filed under: uncultured fungus
Lineage: Eukaryota; Fungi
Description: sequence contains ITS1
Source: RNAcentral
UUAACUUAUUUUAUAGGUAACUCAGAGAUGCCAAAAAUACAGGUAUUGGUAGGCCUUCGGCGGGCCGCCCCCUGAAGGGCCUUCCACCGAAGCAACUUGUAGGUACGUUCACAGAGGGUUGGGAGUUUUGCAACUCUGUAAUGAUCCCUCCGCUGGUUCACCAACGGAGA